AAGUCAUGUUGAGGACAAUUUCUUAGAAUGUCCUUGUAUCUUUCCCAUGCUUCAUAUAAUGACUCUCUGAUUUCUUGUUGGAAGUUGGCUAUCUUCUUCUUUACUUU
Lactuca sativa (garden lettuce) is the source of this 107-nucleotide small nucleolar RNA. The record is from RefSeq and is a predicted model, not a curated record. NCBI's taxonomy places the organism in Eukaryota, Viridiplantae, Streptophyta, Magnoliopsida, Asterales, Asteraceae.